AUCGUUCAUUUUGAAUAAUUCAAAACGGAAGUAAACGAAAGUUGAAGGAACGCAUG
The submitters of this non-coding RNA (56 nucleotides) gave its source as unclassified sequences. The record is from Rfam.